GGUCUUUGGACUGGUUCCUUCAGAUUUUCAGUAACGGUUUUCCAAAUGAACUAAUUCCAAAAAAUUAUUGUGUCUUGGAUUUGGGAUCCUAAAGCAAGCAUUGCGGCAAUUAGACCGUUAAUAAAAGAUGGUCUUACUCUCCCUAUGGUUUUUGUUACUGUAUUCUCCUCAGCAGGACAGCCUUUGAAGAUUCAAUCAAACAGGUUGCAUAAUUUAUUUGGAUUGGAUUUGAGCAUUCCUGUUAAGAUGAAAAAUUAUUACCAUCUCUAAUUGCCCUUGUGAUACAAUUCAAUGGUCUUCUGGACAGUUCAUAGGGCAGUUAGGUGUCAUACACUUUGCCAAGGUUCUGGUGUCACAUAAAGCCCAGAUCAGGUAAUUUUGAACAGAAUGAAGGAGGAUCCUUAUUGGAAAAACUGCGGUCCCAGUGGAGCAGUACAUUAGUUUUCUACUUGUAUGUGUCUCUGUUAGUGGCAUAAUGAGGGAGGCAGCUGAAGAGAUUAUGCCUGUAUCUACCACACCCAGGCCUGAUUCUAUUCAUGGAUAUUAGUUCCUGACAGAUGACGUCUUGGGAGAAGACUAUGAUUUCUUCCAUAUUUUUUGCACUUGUCAACACAGCAAUUCAGUAUACAGAUAGUCAUCAUGUUCAAAGUAUUUAUUGUCUUCUGAGACUCAGUGUGAAGAAUGUUUUGGAUUUUGGUACAGAUCGUGUUAAUAAUCUGUUCCUCCUCAUUGCACUUCACUGCAUUCCAGUCUUGUGGCACCAGAUGGUGCUGCCAACACAGCCUGAUUAGCUGUGGAAGACCGUCUAAAUAGAAAUAAUUUAGUAAAUAUGGCUGGUUGAAUUAAAUUACAUCUAUUCAGAUACUUUCCCCCUUACCAUAUUAUUAUCUAUACUGAUUGUUGGUGUACCGUGCACUAUGAAUGAGAUUUUGAUGCCUUCUGAAGAAGUACGAAGAUUGGAUUCCUCAGCUUGUUUGAAGAGAUUCAAGGACCAAAUGAUUGGGUGACAUCAUUGAAUCACUUGAUAUGAAAGAUGAAAAUUUUAUAAAAAUUUGUCAUAAAGACACUUGGAUAUUAUUUUAGAACAACUGAACUGCUUAAGCUGUAGAGAAAUGUCUGUUUUUAUUAUUCUACAAAU
Non-coding RNA from Chiloscyllium plagiosum (whitespotted bambooshark), 1138 nucleotides. Lineage: Eukaryota; Metazoa; Chordata; Chondrichthyes; Orectolobiformes; Hemiscylliidae. The record is from RefSeq and is a predicted model, not a curated record.